This 253-nucleotide ribosomal RNA is filed under the name uncultured bacterium. Its description in RNAcentral is "partial 16S ribosomal RNA". It matches the Rfam family "Bacterial small subunit ribosomal RNA", at positions 524 to 776 of the family's 1533-position model. The record is from RNAcentral.
UACGUAGGUGGCGAGCGUUGUCCGUAUUUACUGGGCGUAAAGGGCGUGCAGGCGGUUUGUUAAGUGCAGGGUGAAAGCUCCCGGCUCAACUGGGAGAGGUCCUUGCAUACUGGCGAACUCGAGGGAGGCAGAGGAAAGUGGAAUUCCUGGUGUAGCGGUGAAAUGCGCAGAUAUCAGGAGGAACACCGGUGGCGAAGGCGGGUCUCUGGGCCGAUACUGACGCUGAGGAGCGAAAGCGUGGGGAGCGAACAGG